GCAUUAAUGGGGUAGUGGUAACCUGGGUCGUUGCCAUGAGAUUCUCUACUACUACUAUCUCGACCCGCCGGGGGUUCGAUUCCCUCUUAAUGCA
Molecule: non-coding RNA, 94 nt
Organism: Arthromyces matolae
Lineage: Eukaryota; Fungi; Basidiomycota; Agaricomycetes; Agaricales; Lyophyllaceae
Source: the annotation of a GenBank genome assembly